RNAcentral lists this ribosomal RNA (404 nucleotides) under Limosilactobacillus fermentum. Its description in RNAcentral is "bacterial SSU rRNA". It matches the Rfam family "Bacterial small subunit ribosomal RNA", at positions 102 to 491 of the family's 1533-position model. The record is from RNAcentral. Lineage: Bacteria; Bacillati; Bacillota; Bacilli; Lactobacillales; Lactobacillaceae.
ACGGGUGAGUAACACGUAGGUAACCUGCCCAGAAGCGGGGGACAACAUUUGGAAACAGAUGCUAAUACCGCAUAACAACGUUGUUCGCAUGAACAACGCUUAAAAGAUGGCUUCUCGCUAUCACUUCUGGAUGGACCUGCGGUGCAUUAGCUUGUUGGUGGGGUAACGGCCUACCAAGGCGAUGAUGCAUAGCCGAGUUGAGAGACUGAUCGGCCACAAUGGGACUGAGACACGGCCCAUACUCCUACGGGAGGCAGCAGUAGGGAAUCUUCCACAAUGGGCGCAAGCCUGAUGGAGCAACACCGCGUGAGUGAAGAAGGGUUUCGGCUCGUAAAGCUCUGUUGUUAAAGAAGAACACGUAUGAGAGUAACUGUUCAUACGUUGACGGUAUUUAACCAGAAAGU